AGAACGAACGCUGGCGGCAGGCCUCAAACAUGCAAGUCUAGGGGGUGUAGCAAUACAUCACCGGCGGACGGGUGCGUAACACGUGGGAAUAUACCUUUCGGUACGGAACAACUGCGGGAAACUGCAGCUAAUACCGUAUACGUCCUAGCGGAGAAAGAUUUAUCGCCGAAGGAUUAGCCCGCGUAGGAUUAGCUAGUUGGUGAGGUAAUGGCUCACCAAGGCUCCGAUCCUUAGCUGUUCUGAGAGGAAGAUCAGCCACACUGGGACUGAGACACGGCCCAGACUCCUACGGGAGGCAGCAGUUGGGAAUCUUGGACAAUGGGGGAAACCCUGAUCCAGCCAUGCCGCGUGAGUGAUGAAGGCCUUCGGGUUGUAAAACUCUUUCGACGGGGACGAUAAUGACGGUACCCGUAGAAGAAGCUCCGGCUAACUUCGUGCCAGCAGCCGC
Molecule: ribosomal RNA, 448 nt
Filed under: uncultured bacterium
Lineage: Bacteria
Description: SSU rRNA
Rfam family: Bacterial small subunit ribosomal RNA
Source: RNAcentral